This 355-nucleotide ribosomal RNA is filed under the name uncultured bacterium. RNAcentral describes it as "bacterial SSU rRNA". It matches the Rfam family "Bacterial small subunit ribosomal RNA", at positions 32 to 369 of the family's 1533-position model. The record is from RNAcentral.
AAUCAACGCUGGCGGCGUGCCUCAGACAUGCAAGUCGAACGAGAAGUCCCCUUCGGGGGGAUGGAUAGUGGCGCACGGGUGAGUAACACGUGGGUAAUUUACCUUUGGGUGGGGAACAACAGCCGGAAACGGCUGCCAAUACCGCAUAAUGCAGCGGCUCCUCAUGGAGACAGUUGUUAAAGCGGGGGAUCGCAAGACCUCGCGCCUGAAGAGAAGCCCGCGGCAGAUAGCUAGUUGGUAAGGUAAUGGCUUACCAAGGCGACGAUCUGUAACCGGCCUGAGAGGGCGGUCGGUCACACUGACACUGACAUACGGGUCAGACUCCUACGGGAGGCAGCAGUCGGGAAUUUUGGGC